This 585-nucleotide ribosomal RNA is filed under the name Triticum aestivum (bread wheat). RNAcentral's name for it is "partial small subunit ribosomal RNA". The record is from RNAcentral. Lineage: Eukaryota; Viridiplantae; Streptophyta; Magnoliopsida; Poales; Poaceae.
AUGCGCACACAUCGCUCCUCACAAGAUCGCACCCAAGCAAUAGAUGAAGAACUACUCCCUCCGGUCACAAACAUAAGAUGUUCUAACCUUUUCUCUCUCUUUUUUGCGGGGGAAAAUGAUACGACCCUUCAUAAUAAAAACAGUAAGGUCAUCGAUGUUUCAUCUGAAGCCGGUGUUGUCCGAAAGUACGAUGCAUCUACACUGGAGUAUCUACGGCCAAGUAAUGAAGAUGAGCAUACACUAGCUAAUACUUGCAUGCACGUUGAUGCAUCGGACAGAAUUAAUAUAGGCCGAAAGAAGAAACAAGUCCAAGCUCAGGACCAGAUAAGAUUUAUUUCAGAAUUUGACAUGCGUACAAUGGUGCAAGAAAUAAAGAGAGAAAAAUAUGAGAUGAAAGCCAGCAUAGAAUGCUAUUCUGUUUUAAUUGUAGGAGGCAAAAUCCAUUCGGUGCAUGCAACCAAGAAUUAUGGCUAUUUAAUUGGAGAUAUGGAAGGAGUUAAAGGAAGAAUCAAGGUACUAGGAUUUAUGUUCUUGUUUCAGCCGCACAAAUAUCACGCAAGUGCAAACGUGCCGUGGAGUGUGUAG